UCAGUAUGGAAAAUACACCCACGCAAAAAAUGAAGCGCUUUAUCUUGGAUGCAGAGCCACCUGUGCCAAAGGAACAGCCAAUAUCGCGUAAUGUACAUGUAUUUUUAAUUACUUUGCACGCUAUAGCAGAGCAGAGCAACGUAUAAUUGCUGCAUUUAAAAAAGAAAUUGUCGAACUAAAAUCAAAAAUUGACGUUCUAACGGAAGCUGUGGCGGAGGCGGUGACCCUUAUUAUAUUGCAGGGUAUAAAAGAUCCAGAGGCAGCAGACAGCCAAAUUAGUUUCCUGAUAGAAUCGACGGUGGAGUUGGAGCAUUUCCACGGAUUAUAACUCCGGAGCUCACCGAUUUCUUUGUGAGUGGUGGCAUAUCAUUUUCUUCAUUAUUUUCUGUUAUUAGAUAAACAAAUUACGGAACAUAGUGGGGACGAGCCCAUCUAAAAAAUCUGCCUAAAAAAUGUGCUGCACGAGAGGCUGAUGUUGUCGUAUCAUUUGGAUGAAGCCUCGGAAGAAGUUUCAAGAAAUCGGCGAUUGAAACGCGUAAUUCAUCACUCAUCUAUACAUAUGUAUAUGAUGAUUUUUCCGAGCUGCUAGAUGACCAAUGCCUUGAGACAUCGCCCUGAUAAUGUAGCGUAUGGUGUGUCAUCGCUUAUGUCAUCGGGGGUAGUGACGCUGUCAUCGACGUGUCAGCAGCAUCGAAGGCCCGUACUGCAGGCGAAGAGUUUAGGGAUAUACUAGUUUUGUGGUGAACGUGGGUAGCGAUCGUUUCCAGCCCCAUAUUCCUAAACAGCAUCAACAAGCGAGACGAGCCAUGUCUGUCUGUUUGACGCCUGGUUCUCAGAGACUAUAAGAGCUAUAGCAACCUAAUUUUUUGCAAUGACGGAGUCUGUCUGUGAUAUCACACUGAAUAAAGAUUCUUUCAAAAUUUGUUUAUGCCCCCGUCCGCCCCAAAAAGAUACGAGAAAGCCGAAAGCUGGGAAUCAUAGAGAAUUAUCAUAUCUACCAGAUUGCCGAAUCUGGAUCAUUAUUAUAGCCAGAGUGAAGUAAAUAUUUGCCGUGUCUACGGAACCCCUUCCAAGCGCCGACUCAUUCUCUCUCACUCUUCCUCGUGAGAGGGAAGCGAGACAGCAACAGUUGUUCUUUUAUUUUGACUGACUGUUGGACGACGUUGUGAUCGCGUCGGGGACACCUGGAGAGCUGAAAGCUUGGACGUGACAAAGAUAGGCCCGAUCGUGCAACGAUCGUCGUGGGUCAGCGUCGCUUUCUCUCGCUUACUCCUUCAGACGAGAUCGCAGCUUCACUAUCUUCUCUCUUCUUUGACUCGGCUCUCACAAAUUUAAGUGCUCUCUCUCGCUCUACCCUACGUGCCUGCAUAAACCACUAUCGCUGAUCUCUCAUGCCCUGGUCUUGCACUUCUUAGUGGCUGACUAUGCCUUUAAAUUCGAAUUUUUACCAGAGAAAUUAGAAUUUUGACCAUUUUGCUAACUCGUGUACACGACAUUCGGAGACUUUAUCCCUUUCAGAAUAAUGUGCUGCUUGCCAAGGCAUGGAAUGAUGUAACUUUUAUCUCCCUUUCUCUCGAUCUUUGUAAUUGUAGAAUCAGCUGUGCUUCGUUUAGCUGCUUCACUGCCAAAGCUAAUAAUCCGAGAAACGAGUCUCUGAGUCACACAGCCUGGGCACCACAAAACAAUAUGGAAUAUCCGCUUGGGCCAGACGGCCGAUAUUCUGGCAUAAAUUCGAAAAAUUUAAUCCUUAAUCCCCUCUCUCUUUAACUGAUUGGAACUUUAGAUUUGGAACUGUCCGUUCGGUAAAAAAAUCGCUUAAAAAUACUCUCACAGAGCGGUCGAUGCGGUCGAUGGUAACAGCUUGAAAGCCCAAUUCUAAAAGGAAUCAUGAUUCCUAUCGGAUCAGCCAAAUGACUUUCAACUGUCGCUUUCAGUGUCCACCUUUUCUCCUCCUUUCCACCCAUACAUUUUAUAUGGCCCUGAUCUUAAAACCAUAUUAAAAGAACUCUUCUACACCAAUUCCUUACAGUUUGGGAUUCACUUUUAUUUCGUUUUCUUUUAAAUGUUUACAAGCCCCAGCACAAUAUGAGAUCCAGUGGCGAUUUGGCUCACAGUGUCAGCUGGAUAAGUUUUUUACUUGUCGCGGGAGUCCAGAAUCCAGAGUCCUUUCAGCUCCUCUAGAUGUCUGUCGUCUGUCGGCGAUCAGUAAUUACUGGAGAUACAGAUACUGUUUCAGUGUGAAAGCCAUGGGCGGUAGCUGAAAGAUGCUCCUGUGGCUGUACCCUUGCCGCCCCUCAACACCCGUAAUAAAA
Molecule: long non-coding RNA, 2312 nt
Organism: Drosophila persimilis
Lineage: Eukaryota; Metazoa; Arthropoda; Insecta; Diptera; Drosophilidae
Exons: 5
Source: RefSeq, a predicted model, not a curated record